Molecule: ribosomal RNA, 199 nt
Filed under: uncultured bacterium
Lineage: Bacteria
Description: partial 16S ribosomal RNA
Rfam family: Bacterial small subunit ribosomal RNA
Source: RNAcentral
ACGCUCGACACCUACGGGAGGCAGCAGUGGGGAAUAUUGCACAAUGGGGGAAACCCUGAUGCAGCGACGCCGCGUGAGGGAAGAAGGUUUUCGGAUUGUAAACCUCUGUCCUUGGUGAAGAAAGCAGACGGUAGCCAAGGAGGAAGCCACGGCUAACUACGUACCAGCAGCCGCGGUAAUCUGAGCGGGCUGGCAAGGC